RNAcentral lists this ribosomal RNA (505 nucleotides) under uncultured bacterium. Its description in RNAcentral is "partial 16S ribosomal RNA". It matches the Rfam family "Bacterial small subunit ribosomal RNA", at positions 28 to 507 of the family's 1533-position model. The record is from RNAcentral.
GACGAACGCUGGCGGCGUGCCUAAUACGUGCAAGUAGAACGCACAGUUUAUACCGUAGCUUGCUACACCAUAGACUGUGAGUUGCGAACGGGUGAGUAACGCGUAGGUAACCUGCCUGGUAGCGGGGGAUAACUAUUGGAAACGAUAGCUAAUACCGCAUAAUAUUAAUUAUUGCAUGAUAAUUAAUUGAAAGGUGCAAUUGCACCACUACCAGAUGGACCUGCGUUGUAUUAGCUAGUAGGUGAGGUAACGGCUCACCUAGGCGACGAUACAUAGCCGACCUGAGAGGGUGAUCGGCCACACUGGGACUGAGACACGGCCCAGACUCCUACGGGAGGCAGCAGUAGGGAAUCUUCGGCAAUGGACGAAAGUCUGACCGAGCAACGCCGCGUGAGUGAAGAAGGUUUUCGGAUCGUAAAGCUCUGUUGUAAGAGAAGAACGGGUGUGAGAGUGGAAAGUUCACACUGUGACGGUAUCUUACCAGAAAGGGACGGCUAACUACGUG